CCUACGGGAGGCAGCAGUGAGGAAUAUUGGUCAAUGGCCGGAAGGCUGAACCAGCCAAGCCGCGUGAAGGACGAAGGUGCCAAGCAUUGUAAACUUCUUUUGUCAGGGGACAAAAUCAGGCUCGAGAGCCUGACCGAGGGUACUUGAACAAAAAGCAUCGGCUAACUCCGCGCCAGCAGCCGCGGUAAUCCGGAGGAUGCGAGCGUUAUCCGGAUUUAUUGGGGUUAACGGGUGCGUAGGCGGGCUGUUAAGUCAGCGGUAAAAGCCCGGGGCUCAACCCCGGAGAGCCGUUGAAACUGGGUGUCUUGAGAUGUCGAGGGGUAGGCGGAAUGCGCAGUGUAGCGGUGAAAUGCGUAGAUAUUGCGCAGAACUCCGAUUGCGAAGGCAGCAUACCGGCGGCGAUCUGACGCUGAGGCACGAAAGCGUGGGUAGCGAACAGGAUUAGAUACCCUUGUAGUC
Molecule: ribosomal RNA, 459 nt
Filed under: uncultured bacterium
Lineage: Bacteria
Description: partial 16S ribosomal RNA
Rfam family: Bacterial small subunit ribosomal RNA
Source: RNAcentral